CGGGCUUGAACUACAGGAGAAUGAUUCAGAGAUGAUGAAGUCCUUCGGGACUCCUGUGGAGGUGCUGCAUGGUU
Molecule: ribosomal RNA, 74 nt
Filed under: uncultured Prevotella sp.
Lineage: Bacteria; Pseudomonadati; Bacteroidota; Bacteroidia; Bacteroidales; Prevotellaceae
Description: partial 16S ribosomal RNA
Source: RNAcentral